AGCUUUUAGGUUGAGCAUUUCUUUAAACAUUGCAGGCAAAUGCUGACACCUGCUAUGCUCGGUAGCUAAGAGCAUGCAUAUUCCAUUCAAAAUCAAGUAGAACAGCAACAGCAGCAGCAUGGUAGAAAGGCAGAAUGGAUGGAAAAGCUGUGAAUGAUAUUCAGAGUAAGUGUCUAGCAGGGAAAAUCAUCAUCUGGCAUAUAGGGAAGAAAGUAUAUGCAAAUUUAUCCCAAGGAAAUCAAAUAAGUAAAAUAAGUUAUUGGUAAAGCAAAUCUACACUUAACUGAAAAUUGGGCUGCAGAUGAAUAAGAAACACUAAAUUUAAAUCGAAACUAAGAAAUAUAAAUUUUAAUGGACAGUAGGGAAUUUCUCCUGAAAAGGAAAUCCACAAGAAAUGAAAAAGUGAAAAGCAGAAAGAAACAACUUAAAGUACUCAAAUUCAAGAUUGAGGAAAUAUCAAGGUAAAUUUGCAUGUGAAAAUAACACAUAGGAAAAUAAAGUAUUUAACAAAAUAUGAUUGCCAAAAUUCAACCACAAUUAAAAUGGUAAGUAAUUUAACCUGCCAAGUAAAAUAUGUUAAAACAUAAAUGAUAAUUGUAGAAUGAGAAUAAGUAAUAAGAAAUCAAAAUCUGUGUUUCUACUUCAGAAAUAAAAAUUCAAUAGCAUACCAUUGUUAGCAUACUCAGAGUUUAUUUCAGUCCUGUUGAGUGAAAGAAUAUGAUAGACAUAAGCUUCAAAUAAUUGAUAACACAGAGAGAAUACCUAAACUAAGACAGUGAGAAAAACUAUGUUUUAGAGAUGGCUCGGGGAAAAUACUUUAUAGAUUUUGAGUUUCUAAUAAUUCAAUAGCAUACUAUGUUUCCGAAUACCUGCUAUUGUUGCAUGAGGAAAGGGACACAUAUUUUGACAUUUCCUCUCACUACAUUUCUACAAUGCUGUAAUCGAAGAAGAUAACCCUAUUUCUGUAAUGCAGUAAAAAAAUUAAACCCCA
This 991-nucleotide long non-coding RNA is filed under the name Lathyrus oleraceus (garden pea). Its description in RNAcentral is "Pisum sativum (pea) long non-coding RNA (PSAT_LNC036456)". The record is from RNAcentral. Lineage: Eukaryota; Viridiplantae; Streptophyta; Magnoliopsida; Fabales; Fabaceae.